Molecule: ribosomal RNA, 531 nt
Filed under: uncultured Pseudomonadota bacterium
Lineage: Bacteria; Pseudomonadati; Pseudomonadota
Description: bacterial SSU rRNA
Rfam family: Bacterial small subunit ribosomal RNA
Source: RNAcentral
UCGAACGGCAGCAUGGGCUUCGGCCUGAUGGCGAGUGGCGAACGGGUGAGUAAUACAUCGGAACGUGCCCCGUAGUGGGGGAUAACCAGUCGAAAGAUUGGCUAAUACCGCAUAUGCUCUGAGGAGGAAAGCGGGGGAUCGCAAGACCUCGCGCUAUGGGAGCGGCCGAUGUCCGAUUAGCUUGUUGGUGAGGUAAAGGCUCACCAAGGCGACGAUCGGUAGCUGGUCUGAGAGGAUGAUCAGCCACACUGGGACUGAGACACGGCCCAGACUCCUACGGGAGGCAGCAGUGGGGAAUUUUGGACAAUGGGGGGAACCCUGAUCCAGCCAUGCCGCGUGAGUGAAGAAGGCCUUCGGGUUGUAAAGCUCUUUUGUACGGAAAGAAAAGGUCGAGGCUAAUACCCUUGAUCCUUGACGGUACCGUAAGAAUAAGCACCGGCUAACUACGUGCCAGCAGCCGCGGUAAUACGUAGGGUGCGAGCGUUAAUCGGAAUUACUGGGCGUAAAGCGUGCGUAGGCGGUUCGUUGUGU